UAAAACACAAGUAAAAUAGAUUUAGAGGAUUCUUAUGGGCCCUACUAUUUUCAAAAUAGUAAAUGGAUGUUGCCUUCAGGUCACCAGCUGCAUUAGAUGCUACAAGAACGUCAGCCUGUCCUUUGAAGCUUUGAACCCAAGACAUUGACUUUUCCUCUCUGGCUAUGAAAGUUCUAGAUGGUAUCUUCAUUUUCUUCUGUGGUCUCUGCUUUUUGGAUAUCACCAGAACUGGGGAUCAGCCAGAUCACUUGUAUGCACAAAGCUGCUGUGGAUCUGUCUUUCAAACAAGAGCUGCAGAAAACGCUAUAGCAAGAUUGAAGCUUUAUCCACUCUGGUAAGAGAAGCUUUCUUUUCCUUUGCUAUGGUGAGAGUUUGAUAAGAAAUCUUUUUAAACCGUAAUGUGGUCAGGGAGAGGAGACUCUGUUAUAUAAGUCAGAAAAUGUUUUUUCUUUGAAAUAUUUUUUUCACUAUGCUUUGUGCCUUUAUGUUAUAGCAAGAUAAAACUGAAACACUAAGUCAUAUUGCACAUGUUAAAUUUGUCUUGGACAUAGGGGAGUCUUAAACUACUCUUCUGUUGAGUGAAAUGUGAGGUCAUUUUAUGUUCAUACUGUAGAUCUCCUGGACAGCACGAAGUGAAGAAAGAUUGGUAUUCUAAUACCAUGGCUGAGAGUGAAUCUUGUGUUUAACUUUUCCCCUGACCAAUGGUGUUAUUAAUUCCCAGGAGCUCACCACCACCAAACUCGGCCUUUGGAUUCACUUGCAUAUUUUUUUGACCACUCUAAUCUCUUUCUAUAUUUAAAAUUGGAAAAGCUGGGGAUUAUUCUGGAUGAGUUUAUUUGAAUAGUUUUCUCACUUUAGCUCUAAAGACUGUAACUGUGCACAUAUAUACAAAGUACAAAAUUUUGUUUUUCAUGUAAUUUCUUCAGCCUGUAAUGUGCUUCAACAUUUGUAUGAGAAUCUCUACGUAUUAUAAACUAUCUGAAUUCAUAUCAGUCUAAAAUGACAAUAAAUAUUGAGAGCAUAUACAAGUAUAUAAAUAUGUACAUGUAUAUAAGUAACAUUUGACAUGAAGAAAAUUAAUUUUAGAUAAUUACACAUUUGCAUAUUAAAGCAAUGUAAUCCCUAUGGAAAUUUAUAGCUUUUAAUUUUCAUUUAUAUGACCC
Molecule: long non-coding RNA, 1163 nt
Filed under: Macaca mulatta (Rhesus monkey)
Lineage: Eukaryota; Metazoa; Chordata; Mammalia; Primates; Cercopithecidae
Description: lncRNA (ENSMMUG00000056953.1)
Source: RNAcentral